Molecule: ribosomal RNA, 476 nt
Filed under: uncultured low G+C Gram-positive bacterium
Lineage: Bacteria; Bacillati; Bacillota
Description: bacterial SSU rRNA
Rfam family: Bacterial small subunit ribosomal RNA
Source: RNAcentral
CGCACGAGCGCACCCUUGACUUUAGUUGCCAGCAGGUUAAGCUGGGCACUCUAGAGUGACUGCCGGUGACAAACCGGAGGAAGGCGGGGAUGACGUCAAAUCAUCAUGCCCCUUAUGACCUGGGCUACACACGUACUACAAUGGCCGGUACAGAGGGCUGCGAAGCCGCGAGGUGGAGCCAAUCCCAGAAAGCCGGUCUCAGUUCGGAUUGCAGGCUGCAACUCGCCUGCAUGAAGUCGGAAUUGCUAGUAAUCGCGGAUCAGCAUGCCGCGGUGAAUACGUUCCCGGGUCUUGUACACACCGCCCGUCACACCACGAGAGUUUAUAACACCCGAAGUCGGUGAGGUAACCUGCAAAGGAGCCAGCCGCCGAAGGUGGGAUAGAUGAUUGGGGUGAAGCCGUAACAAGGUAGCCGUAGGGGAACCUGCGGCUGGAUCACCUCCUUAACGACGAAGACCUCUGUUCCGUUCAGGGCC